UUGCUUUUCGUUUAUCAUUUGUUCAGACUUCAUGAUACGUUUGGGUUUGUGACCGGCCGCGGGGUACCUCCCCGAGUUAACGGGGGCCUCCCCCAGGGCCGAAGCGAUGUGAGUUGCUUGCGCGUCUCAUGACAAAGGGCGGGUGGCGGGCGCGAGGCCCAGACCCAGUAAUGAUCCUUCCGCAGGUUCACCUACGGAAA
Molecule: unclassified non-coding RNA, 200 nt
Filed under: uncultured fungus
Lineage: Eukaryota; Fungi
Description: sequence contains ITS1
Source: RNAcentral